Molecule: ribosomal RNA, 524 nt
Filed under: bacterium enrichment culture clone BW010
Lineage: Bacteria
Description: bacterial SSU rRNA
Rfam family: Bacterial small subunit ribosomal RNA
Source: RNAcentral
UAGAGUUUGAUCAUGGCUCAGAUUGAACGCUGGCGGCAGGCCUAACACAUGCAAGUCGAGCGGUAGAGAGAAGCUUGCUUCUCUUGAGAGCGGCGGACGGGUGAGUAAUACCUAGGAAUCUGCCUGGUAGUGGGGGAUAACGUUCGGAAACGGACGCUAAUACCGCAUACGUCCUACGGGAGAAAGCAGGGGACCUUCGGGCCUUGCGCUAUCAGAUGAGCCUAGGUCGGAUUAGCUAGUUGGUGAGGUAAUGGCUCACCAAGGCUACGAUCCGUAACCGGUCUGAGAGGAUGAUCAGUCACACUGGAACUGAGACACGGUCCAGACUCCUACGGGAGGCAGCAGUGGGGAAUAUUGGACAAUGGGCGAAAGCCUGAUCCAGCCAUGCCGCGUGUGUGAAGAAGGUCUUCGGAUUGUAAAGCACUUUAAGUUGGGAGGAAGGACAGUAAAUUAAUACUUUGCUGUUUUGACGUUACCGACAGAAUAAGCACCGGCUAACUCUGUGCCAGCAGCCGCGGUAUACA